GCCCAAGUAGCUCAGUCGGUAGAGCACUUCCUUGGUAAGGAAGUGGUCGCCGGUUCGAUUCCGGCCUUGGGCUCCA
Molecule: transfer RNA, 76 nt
Filed under: Deltaproteobacteria bacterium
Lineage: Bacteria; Pseudomonadati; Myxococcota; Myxococcia
Description: tRNA-Thr
Rfam family: tRNA
About the family: Transfer RNA (tRNA) molecules are approximately 80 nucleotides in length. Their secondary structure includes four short double-helical elements and three loops (D, anti-codon, and T loops). Further hydrogen bonds mediate the characteristic L-shaped molecular structure. tRNAs have two regions of fundamental functional importance: the anti-codon, which is responsible for specific mRNA codon recognition, and the 3' end, to which the tRNAs corresponding amino acid is attached (by aminoacyl-tRNA synthetases). tRNAs cope with the degeneracy of the genetic code in two manners: having more than one tRNA (with a specific anti-codon) for a particular amino acid; and 'wobble' base-pairing, i.e. permitting non-standard base-pairing at the 3rd anti-codon position.
Source: RNAcentral